AUGAGAACAGAGCGGGAGACAACCCAGACACCAACCCCCCCUUCUCCCCCCACCCCACAAGCGACAGGGAGCCCAGGAGAGACUGAGGCAUAUAUAUGUACGGAGAGAGGAUUUACUCUAAGAGACAAAGACCAGGGAGAAGCGCGGAGCAACACUUCCACAAUAUUUACAGACAAAUCACCACCCCCAAGCCUCUUCCUUCCCCACCUCAAGCCAUCCGGAGCAAUUCUGGGCAGAUGGGGGCAGUGGGGGAGGGGGAAGAGGCACGCCUGGGCCCACUGUGGGGACUGGAGGGGCAGGGGUGUCUGCUGGCCGAGAGGUCCCACCCCCUCGGAGCUAGAGGCAGGAGGGCCAGGGGAGGGAGCAGGCGGCCCGGCUCUCCAGCAGAAGAGGGGGCCGGUCGGUCAGACCCCUCCUGCCUCCGCUGGCAACGGGAAAUAUCGCGAUAACUCCCCCCCCCCACGCCAACCUCCAUUCUACUCCCGCCUCCCGGGCUUCCCCCGGAGCCUGGGUCAGAGGAUCAGGGACCCCAGUUACCCGGUGGCCGCUCCUACCUUCCCUAGAGUCAAACUUUCGGCGGGGCCCAAGGAGGGGGGUGUUCCAGAGAAAGAGACUCUGCCGAGGUGGUUCGGGGAGGGGGCGGGGCGCCCGGUCCUGGGCCGGGGGGGAAAGGGACCCGCUGGGGGGAGGUGCCCGAGAGACCGGGGACCCCGGCCAGGAGGAGCGCCCUCCCCCGGCCCCGCAGCAAUCAGAAAGGCAUGUCGCCUCGCUCCCGGCCUCAAGUCCUUCCUUGCGCGUCCACGACGCCCCAGUGCCCACGGAAGAAGCAGAGAGCGACCCUUCCCCAAACCCAAGGGGGCAGUGGGGCAGGGCCAGGGGCCGCUCUGGCUCGUGGGGCGGGCGAAGGGGGCAGAGAUCCGGCCCAGCGCGCAGCCCACAGCCCCUGUGGCUGCCUCGGGCCCUCCCCCUCGCUACCUCGGGAGCAGGUCUGCGAGGGGGCUGCGGCACAAAGAGGUGGUGGUCGAGGGAGACGCCAGAUCGCUAAAAGGGGGAAUCCAUUUCGGCCAUCUUGGAAGGGAGGAAAGGGAAAAGGGGAGAGAAAAGGGAGAAAGAAAGGCGGACGGGGCGAGCUAG
Molecule: long non-coding RNA, 1134 nt
Filed under: Ailuropoda melanoleuca (giant panda)
Lineage: Eukaryota; Metazoa; Chordata; Mammalia; Carnivora; Ursidae
Description: lncRNA (ENSAMEG00000024843.1)
Source: RNAcentral